Long non-coding RNA from Lutra lutra (Eurasian river otter), 299 nucleotides. RefSeq lists it as uncharacterized. The transcript is spliced from 3 exons. The record is from RefSeq and is a predicted model, not a curated record. NCBI's taxonomy places the organism in Eukaryota, Metazoa, Chordata, Mammalia, Carnivora, Mustelidae.
GGAAGUUGGUCAAUUGCCAAAGGUGACAGAAAUUAAUUGUUAUAAGUGAUUACAAUCUAGCCUGGGAAACUAAAAUGAUUAAUCAGUCAAGGCCAUAUGCCAUCUGAACAGACUGGCUCAGGCAGUAGCUACUGAAGAACGUGUGUACUUACAGAGAAGUGGGCCAGAAAGUAGGAAGCCAUGAGGCUUCAAAAAGAAAUUACAGAAUUAUUAGUAUGUGACUCCAGAGAUGCCAGGGAUCACUAUACCAGCACCUAGAAAGAAGCAGCAACAAGAAGAAUAGGGGAGAUUUGAGAAGA